UACGAAGGGGGCUAGCGUUGUUCGGAUUUACUGGGCGUAAAGCGCACGUAGGCGGAUCGUUAAGUUGGGGGUGAAAUCCUGGAGCUCAACUCCAGAACUGCCUUCAAUACUGGCGAUCUAGAGUCCGGAAGAGGUGAGUGGAACUCCUAGUGUAGAGGUGGAAUUCGUAGAUAUUAGGAAGAACACCAGUGGCGAAGGCGGCUCACUGGUCCGGUACUGACGCUGAGACGCGAAAGCGUGGGGAGCGAACAGG
RNAcentral lists this ribosomal RNA (253 nucleotides) under uncultured bacterium. RNAcentral's name for it is "partial 16S ribosomal RNA". It matches the Rfam family "Bacterial small subunit ribosomal RNA", at positions 524 to 776 of the family's 1533-position model. The record is from RNAcentral.